RNAcentral lists this ribosomal RNA (253 nucleotides) under uncultured bacterium. RNAcentral describes it as "partial 16S ribosomal RNA". It matches the Rfam family "Bacterial small subunit ribosomal RNA", at positions 524 to 776 of the family's 1533-position model. The record is from RNAcentral.
UACGGGGGGGGCAAGCGUUGUUCGGAAUUACUGGGCGUAUAGGGCUCGUAGGCGGCCAACUAAGUCAGACGUGAAAUCCCCAGGCUCAACCUGGGAACUGCGUCUGAUACUGGAUGGCUUGAAUCCGGGAGAGGGAUGCAGAAUUCCAGGUGUAGCGGUGAAAUGCGUAGAUAUCUGGAGGAAUACCGGUGGCGAAGGCGGCAUCCUGGACCGGCAUUGACGCUGAGGAGCGAAAGCUAGGGGAGCAAACGGG